Molecule: ribosomal RNA, 292 nt
Filed under: uncultured bacterium
Lineage: Bacteria
Description: partial 16S ribosomal RNA
Rfam family: Bacterial small subunit ribosomal RNA
Source: RNAcentral
GUGCCAGCAGCCGCGGUAAUACGGAGGGUGCAAGCGUUGUCCGGAAUUAUUGGGCGUAAAGCGCGCGCAGGCGGUCUCUUAAGUCUGAUGUGAAAUCUUGCGGCUCAACCGCAAGCGGUCAUUGGAAACUGGGAGACUUGAGUACAGAAGAGGAGAGUGGAAUUCCAUGUGUAGCGGUGAAAUGCGUAGAUAUAUGGAGGAACACCAGUGGCGAAGGCGACUCUCUGGUCUGUAACUGACGCUGAGGCGCGAAAGCGUGGGGAGCAAACAGGAUUAGAUACCCGAGUAGUCC